GACUCGAUCAGGUAGAUACACGGAC
This 25-nucleotide ribosomal RNA is filed under the name Tuber quercicola. Its description in RNAcentral is "partial 28S ribosomal RNA". The record is from RNAcentral. Lineage: Eukaryota; Fungi; Ascomycota; Pezizomycetes; Pezizales; Tuberaceae.